This is a long non-coding RNA of Oncorhynchus keta (chum salmon), 1922 nucleotides long. RefSeq lists it as uncharacterized. The record is from RefSeq and is a predicted model, not a curated record. The transcript is spliced from 9 exons. Lineage: Eukaryota; Metazoa; Chordata; Actinopteri; Salmoniformes; Salmonidae.
GGAGAGAUCUGAUUGAGAUACUUUUAAACCAAGAGAUGUGAUUGGGUAAGGGGAGAGAUCUGAUUGGAUACUUUUAAACCAAGAGAUGUGAUUGGGUAAGGGGAGAGAUCUGAUUGGGUUACUUUUAAACCAAGAGAUGUGAUUGGGUAAGGGGAGAGAUCUGAUUGAGAUACUUUUAAACCAAGGGAAAGGGGAUGUGAUUGGGUAAGGGGAAAGGAGCAGGUGUGUCUUCUGAUUAGAGACUGAUUGGGUUACGUUUAAACCAAGGGAAAGGGGAUGUGAUUGGGUAAGGGGAAAGGAGCAGGUGUGUCUUCUGAUUAGAGACUGAUUGGGUUACGUUUAAACCAAGGGAAAGGGGAUGUGAUUGGGUAAGGGGAAAGGAGCAGGUGUGUCUUCUGAUUAGAGACUGAUUGGGAUACGUUUAAACCAAGGGAAAGGGGAUGUGAUUGGGUAAGGGGAAAGGAGCAGGUGUGUCUUCUGAUUAGAGACUGAUUGGGUUACUUUUAAACCAAGGGAAAGGGGAUGUGAUUGGGUAAGGGGAAAGGAGCAGGUGUGUCUUCUGAUUAGAGACUGAUUGGGAUACGUUUAAACCAAGGGAAAGGGGAUGUGAUUGGGUAAGGGGAAAGGAGCAGGUGUGUCUUCUGAUUAGAGACUGAUUGGGUUACUUUUAAACCAAGGGAAAGGGGAUGUGAUUGGGUAAGGGGAAAGGAGCAGGUGUGUCUUCUGAUUAGAGACUGAUUGGGUUACUUUUAAACCAAGGGAAAGGGGAUGUGAUUGGGUAAGGGGAAAGGAGCAGGUGUGUCUUCUGAUUAGAGACUGAUUGGGAUACGUUUAAACCAAGGGAAAGGGGAUGUGAUUGGGUAAGGGGAAAGGAGCGGGUGUGUCUUCUGAUUAGAGACUGAUUGGGUUACUUUUAAACCAAGGGAAAGGGGAUGUGAUUGGGUAAGGGGAAAGGAGCAGGUGUGUCUUCUGAUUAGAGACUGAUUGGGUUACUUUUAAACCAAGGGAAAGGGGAUGUGAUUGGGUAAGGGGAAAGGAGCAGGUGUGUCUUCUGAUUAGAGACUGAUUGGGUUACUUUUAAAACAAGGGAAAGGGGAUGUGAUUGGGUAAGGGGAAAGGAGCAGGUGUGUCUUCUGAUUAGAGACUGAUUGGGAUACGUUUAAACCAAGGGAAAGGGGAUGUGAUUGGGUAAGGGGAAAGGAGCAGGUGUGUCUUCUGAUUAGAGACUGAUUGGGUUACGUUUAAACCAAGGGAAAGGGGAUGUGAUUGGGUAAGGGGAAAGGAGCAGGUGUGUCUUCUGAUUAGAGACUGAUUGGGAUACGUUUAAACCAAGGGAAAGGGGAUGUGAUUGGGUAAGGGGAAAGGAGCAGGUGUGUCUUCUGAUUAGAGACUGAUUGGGUUACUUUUAAACCAAGAGAUGUGAUUGGGUAAGGGGAAAGGAGCAGGUGUGUCUUCUGAUUAGAGACUGAUUGGGUUACUUUUAAACCAAGGGAAAGGGGAUGUGAUUGGGUAAGGGGAAAGGAGCAGGUGUGUCUUCUGAUUAGAGACUGAUUGGGAUACGUUUAAACCAAGGGAAAGGGGAUGUGAUUGGGUAAGGGGAAAGGAGCAGGUGUGUCUUCUGAUUGGCGACUGAUUAGGGAAUGAUGAUUGCCACCUAUGAGUCUCCUGUGAGAAGGAGAGAGAUACACACAGGAUACAAUGUUCAGCACAUCUCACAACACUAGUGUCUAGGGGUUGAUUUGGUACUAGGCCAGACUAGUGUCUAGGGGUUGAUUUGGUACUAGGCCAGACUAGUGUCUAGGGGUUGAUUUGGUACUAGGCCAGACUAGUGUCUAGGGGUUGAUUUGGUACUAGGCCAGACUAGUGUCUAGGGUUGAUUUGGUACUAGGCCAGACUAGUGUCUAGGGGUUGAUUUGGUACUA